AUGAAGCUGGAUUCGCUAGUAAUCGCGCAUCAGCCACGGCGCGGUGAACACGUUCCCGGGCCUUGUACACACCGCCCGUCAAGCCAUGGAAGCCGGGAGUGCCUGAAGUGCGUGAGCGCAAGCAGCGCCCUAAGGUAAAACCGGUGACUGGGGCUAAGUCGUAACAAGGUAAC
This 173-nucleotide ribosomal RNA is filed under the name uncultured bacterium. RNAcentral's name for it is "partial 16S ribosomal RNA". It matches the Rfam family "Bacterial small subunit ribosomal RNA", at positions 1320 to 1500 of the family's 1533-position model. The record is from RNAcentral.